This 76-nucleotide transfer RNA is filed under the name compost metagenome. RNAcentral's name for it is "tRNA-Met". The record is from RNAcentral.
UGCAGGUAUGACGUCGGGUGGCGUCGCGAGUCUCAUAAGCUCACUUUGGUCGGUUCGAGUCCGACACCUGCUACCA